This 216-nucleotide ribosomal RNA is filed under the name uncultured bacterium. Its description in RNAcentral is "partial 16S ribosomal RNA". It matches the Rfam family "Bacterial small subunit ribosomal RNA", at positions 587 to 793 of the family's 1533-position model. The record is from RNAcentral.
GUUACAGAUGUGAAAGACCCGGGGCGUCAACCUCGGAAUAGCAUUUGUAAACUGGCAGACUAGAGUACUGUAGAGGGGGGGUAGGAAUUUCAGGUGUAGCGGUGAAAUGCGUAGAGAUCUGAAGGAAUACCGGUGGCGAAGGCGGCCCCCUCGGACAGAUACUGACACUCAGAUGCGAAAAGCGUGGGGAGCAAACAGGAUUAGAUACCCUGGUAG